CGCCGACGUGAGCCAGGAAUAACUCCACCACUACGUAGAUCUGAAUCCCAUCCCAAGCAAUGCCGCCUGAUGCCCGUUUUCAUAACACAGACCCCUGAGCCAUCGCUGUGCAGGUGGAGCAGCACCAGAGCUGGGGGGGAAGGAGAUGCCGGGGCUGGGCAAAUUCGCCACAGGAGAGCUGGAUACAGCCAACAGGGUAAGGAGAGACCUCUCAAGAGAGAGCGGCAGGAGGCAUUGCGAGCAGAUCUUUGAUGCUGCAGAUCAGAGAUGGACCCUGGUGAAAACUGGAAGCUGGAUGAAACCAACUGGUUGUCUCAUGGUGGGAUCCAUCCCUUUGCCAGUGUGAAAGGAGACAAUGAGCUCUCCGAAGGUGCCCCAGCCCUCUUUGCUCUGGAUCAGCUGGGGCAAUGAAUUCUCCAUCCUUGGAGAUAUUCAAAAGCUGUCUGGACACGGUUCUGGGCGACCAGCUCUAGGCAGUCCUGCUUGAGCAGAGGGCUUGGACCAGAUGACCUCCAGAGGUCCCUGCCAACCUCAACCAGUCUGUGACUCUGCGACUUCCCCGCCGCUCUGAAAACUCACCUUGUCACCAGUAAGGAUUCUCCGCAUGCACCCACUGGGCUGCUCACCACAUGCGGCACUAGUGGAAACUUCGGGUAGGAGGGUAAAAACUGCAGGAGCGCAGAAUGGUGAUUUUUAUCAUGUGUAAUUAUCUCUCCUGUAAACCUCUGCUGCUAAGAGCCAGGAUCUUGAAAAAAUUCCUGUAAAUACAAAAAUAAACUGUAUGAUGCCUCGCUGGUGCUUGAAGGGGUGGC
Aptenodytes forsteri (emperor penguin) is the source of this 812-nucleotide long non-coding RNA. RefSeq lists it as uncharacterized. The record is from RefSeq and is a predicted model, not a curated record. NCBI's taxonomy places the organism in Eukaryota, Metazoa, Chordata, Aves, Sphenisciformes, Spheniscidae. The transcript has 4 exons.